Long non-coding RNA from Clarias gariepinus (North African catfish), 1612 nucleotides. RefSeq lists it as uncharacterized. The record is from RefSeq and is a predicted model, not a curated record. The transcript is spliced from 3 exons. NCBI's taxonomy places the organism in Eukaryota, Metazoa, Chordata, Actinopteri, Siluriformes, Clariidae.
UUGCACCGCGCGGGGUAACAGCCGUUAGAGAAAGCGCUCGUGCGUCGCGCCAAUUUCGCUUGUACUGUAAAAAGUCGUUACUGUCAGCAUUUCAUCAGCAAGGAAGGAAGAAAUCGAACGGAGGAAAAUAACCGACGAAACUGUGACUUCGGGAACAUUCUGGAACCCAGCGCCGUUUAUUUGGCCGUGAAACAGAAGUUACAAUUCGAUGCAUUGCGGUUCUUCGUGGUAUCCGUGUCCUUCUUGGGGACAACCCCUCAGAAUUUUUAAAAGUUUGCUUUGACUCAGAAAAAAACAACAAACUUUGAGCAGAUUCCUGUUGGCAUUCUGUAAGUCGACAACGAGGACUCUCUCCACUGCUUCGUGGAUCCCUGUACGUCCAGUCUCCACUGCUAUCAUCAUAGAGGGAGGUAUUGUUAUGAAUAAUGUCAGGGACCUGCCUCUUGCUGUUUGUCUCUUGUUUGAACUAUCAUACACACUCCAUCUUGAUUAAAUCAAAGUGCAUGAAGAACACAUUCAACUUCAUCCAGCAAGUCAUGCUUGAUCUGGGAUCGAAGUCAUUAAAACCAAAACUUCAGACUUUAAAGAACCAGUUAUUUGCUUAAAUCAACACAUUUAGGUCAAAAUUAUCUGACCUGCAGUUCAUAGCCACUACUGGGAAGUCAUGAUUCACAACAUGUCAUAGCAAGAAACAUUUUUUUGUUUAAUUCCACUUUUUAAAUAGGUUUAGUUUGUUCAGCAAUAAUAUUUGUUUAAUAGCCUUAAAACAUUUAAAUUAUAAUUUACAUCAUUUAUUUUCUUUGUUUGACAUAUGUUAAUGGAUUAUAGUGUUCUUGUAUUAAUGUUAUUGUGUUUCUGUCAGCAUGGUCUGCUUAAAAGCACUUUAAAUAAGGAUUGUAAAAUGUUAUACGAAUGUAGAGAUGUUUAGACAGCUGAGGUUUUCCAUUCAACCGUUCUGUUAACUUUAUUUCUGAGAUGUCAGUUUAGUGCAUUUUGAUGCAGUACUUUUCAUGUAGCACACAUAUUUAGCACCUAGUGGCAUCAUCCAAUAAAUUAUAGUAAUGUGUAUUGAUUAAAAUUCUCUCAAUUGCUUCAGCCAUUUCUGCUGUAAUCAACAUUUUGAAAAAUAAAUGUUUUUAAACUGAUCUAAAUGGAGACCUGUGAUUUUUACUAGUUGCAAUGUAUUUGAAACUGUAAAAAACAUUAAUAGAAAAAUUGCUGUUAUUUUAUUGAUAAAUUAUAAUAAUUAUUGUUAUACCCUAUAGUUAAACUUUACUGGUACCAUUUCUCAAAUCACAGAUUCAGUUAAGUUAAUAAAACUUAAAUGCUUUAAGUAAAUGUGACUGGAUACAGGUAGGGAAUACUUUUGAUAUAUUAGUAAAUAUGACUUAAAUCACACUUGAUAUAAUAAAGUUAAUAUUACUUAAUUGAAUUAACGCAAUGAAAGCACAAUUUAAAUAAGUAAACCUAACAAAUUACUUUUUCCAGUGUGUUUAUAAUUUGCUUAUAAUUUACUACUAAAUGUACUACUGUAACAUGGAUUAAUUUUAGUUUAAUGUCUAUUUGUUUUAAAUAAAAGUGUAUUAAAUAAAAUGCAAUGUGAUGACAGAAU